UACGGGGGGGGCAAGCGUUGUUCGGAAUUACUGGGCGUAAAGGGUGCGCAGGCGGCCGUGUGUGUAAGGUGUGAAAUCCCGGGGCUCAACCCCGGAACUGCGCCUUAAACUACAUGGCUAGAGUACUGGAGAGGGUAGCGGAAUUCACGGUGUAGCAGUGAAAUGCGUAGAUAUCGUGAGGAACACCAGAGGCGAAGGCGGCUACCUGGACAGUUACUGACGCUCAGGCACGAAAGCGUGGGGAGCAAAAGGG
Molecule: ribosomal RNA, 253 nt
Filed under: uncultured bacterium
Lineage: Bacteria
Description: partial 16S ribosomal RNA
Rfam family: Bacterial small subunit ribosomal RNA
Source: RNAcentral